RNAcentral lists this ribosomal RNA (1009 nucleotides) under uncultured ciliate. RNAcentral's name for it is "SSU rRNA". It matches the Rfam family "Eukaryotic small subunit ribosomal RNA", at positions 107 to 1148 of the family's 1831-position model. The record is from RNAcentral. Lineage: Eukaryota; Ciliophora.
CAGUUAUAGUUUAUUUGAUAAUCUUCUACAUGGAUAACCGUGGUAAUUCUAGAGCUAAUACAUGCUGUUUGACCUGACUUCUUGAAAGGUCGUAUUUAUUAGAUACAAAACUAAUUGCCGCAAGGUAAUUAUGGUGAAUCACAGUAACUGAUCGAAUCUCAGCCAGUCUGAGAUAGGUCAUUCAAGUUUCUGCCCUAUCAGCUUUCGAUGGUAGUGUAUUGGACUACCAUGGCAGUCACGGGUAACGGAGAAUUAGGGUUCGAUUCCGGAGAAGCCGCCUGAGAAACGGCGACUACAUCUAAGGAAGGCAGCAGGCGCGUAAAUUACCCAAUCCUAACUCAGGGAGGUAGUGACAAGAAAUAACAACCUGGGGACUUCACAGUCUUACGGGAUUGCAAUGAGGACAAUCCAAAAACCUUAGCGAGGAACAAUUGGAGGGCAAGUCUGGUGCCAGCAGCCGCGGUAAUUCCAGCUCCAAUAGCGUAUAUUAAAGUUGUUGCAGUUAAAAAGCUCGUAGUUGAAUGUCUGGUGAUUGUUGACUCUGGUCUCGGCCGGAUCAACAGUCGCCAUCCGUCUGCGAACUAUGUUCGUCCUUCACUGGUCGUCAUAGGGAGCUGACUUUUUACUUUGAAAAAUUAGAGUGUUUCAGGCAGGCAAUUGCCCGGAUACAUUAGCAUGGAAUAAUGGAAGAGGACUCAGGUCCAUUUUUAUUGGUUAUUGGACAUGAGUAAUGAUUAAUAGGGACAGUUGGGGGCAUUCGUAUUUAAUUGUCAGAGGUGAAAUUCUUGGAUUUAUUAAAGACGAACCAAUGCGAAAGCAUUUGCCAAAGAUGUUUUCAUUAAUCAAGAACGAAAGUUAGGGGAUCAAAGACGAUCAGAUACCGUCGUAGUCUUAACUAUAAACUAUACCGACUCGGGAUCGGAUGGGUUUUCAUCCCCAUUCGGCACCGUAUGAGAAAUCAAAGUCUUUGGGUUCCGGGGGGGAGUAUGGUCGCAAGGCUGAACUUAAA